RNAcentral lists this long non-coding RNA (4723 nucleotides) under Hordeum vulgare. RNAcentral describes it as "long non-coding RNA (HVUL_LNC020567)". Lineage: Eukaryota; Viridiplantae; Streptophyta; Magnoliopsida; Poales; Poaceae. The record is from RNAcentral.
AGUCUCCUCCUCCAUCUCCAUGCUCUUCCUGCCUCGGAGUCGGAGACCCUUUACAAUAAUUACUUACUUGGAGCAUCUCUAGCAGACCCUUGACAACCGGGCCUGGAUCUGGAUCCGGAUCCAUCUCUUCUCCCCUCCCCCGCGCCGGAUCGCGCAUCGGCUUGGAGGCCCCUCGGGGCUGCCGCCGGUGCGGGAGGCGUCCGCGGCCGUGCGAGCUGGGAACAGAGCGGCGGGUUUCGAUCGAGGGCUUUCUCGGGCCGGCGCGGGAUCUGAGCCGCCGUCCAUGGAUUUCUCGCAGCUUGGGUUUGGUACUAUCCCCACCUCUCUCUCUCUCCCUCCCUCGGCGUUGACGCGCGCGCACCUAAACCGGAUCAGGCGAGCGCUCGUUGCCUGAUCGCUCAACCAUCGUCCCUGGUCGGCUGACGCCAGGUAUGAGCAGCUCCUGAGCCUGGUCGCUCGAUGCGUGCACGCACGCAUGUAUGCAUAUAUAUACUCCCUCUGUAAAGAAAUAUCAUGGUCAUGUUGCUUGGUGUGGAAUUGUGGCUGAAACAAUCAUGUCUUGGGCAAUCAAGACAGCCGUGGUGGUGGGUACUAAAUAAGAGCGUCUACGACCGGACUUAUUGACCCAUCAUUUGUACCGCCCUCUCAGUUCCCCGUCAGCUACGGUGCCGCCAGCCAUCGACAUUCCAUUGCCUGGGAUCCGGUUGUGGCGUGGGCUGGGAGCCGUACGGUGUUGUUGUCUGAUGUGUGCUGGAGGGUUUGGUCGGUCGAGGCCAGGUAUGAGCAGCUCCUGAGACUGAUGGAUGGAUGAUGUAUGCAUGCAUGAUACUAUGGUCAUGCUGGGACCGGAUUCACUGUUUUGACCCUAUUUGGAGAAGUUCAGCACAAAAUGAACCAUGUUGGAAGCUUAUCUGGGGCGAUGAUGAUGAAACAUGGCUGACAUAAACUUGUCUUCGGGCACCAAAAACACACUCCCCCUUCUUUUGAAACCUUUUCAUUCUCACAGAAUAUUGACGGCUCUGUCUUGGAUGGUCAUUCUGUUGAGUGAUAACCAGAGGAGCUCGACUACAAUUUUGGGGGCUGAUCUGGUGAAAGAAGAUGGUGGAGCUAGGUUGUAUGAUCUAUCAAAGGCGAAUCUGAGCCCUCUCAAAUCUCAAUGCAACUAAUAUUGUGGCCUCUACACUUUUAUUUACUUCUAUCACCUCUUUAUGUUUAAAAGUGAUGAAUUGUCGUGGUUGUGGCAUUUGCUAUCUCAUUAGGAGCAGCUGCUCACAAAUCACCUCUCGUGGUGUUUGGUUUGCUUUCUCAUGAUUUUGUUUUCCAUGGUGGGAACCACUUCGGUGCAUUCGGGCUUUUUCUUUUCGGUUUUACUUUUCCUUGAAUGGUUGUGAUAAUUCUACUGUCCCUUGGAUAGCUUUUGAGAUUAUCUUAUUGGGUUGGGGGUCAGUUUGCUUGUUUGAAUUGCUAUUUGGCUUUUGAUAUUGUCAUCCUUCUAUACGCUUUAUGUACUUAUUAUCAGUUUGCACUUUUGGCACUCCCCACUUCUUUACUGGUUUCAACUUAAGGGUCGAUGGAUUUUGGCAGCUUGGCUGCAUGUUGCUUCGGAUUCGGUACUGUCACCAUCUUCCUCUGCCCCCCCCCCCCCCCCCCCCCCCCCNNNNNNNNNNNNNNNNNNNNNNNNNNNNNNNNNNNNNNNNNNNNNNNNNNNNNNNNNNNNNNNNNNNNNNNNNNNNNNNNNNNNNNNNNNNNNNNNNNNNNNNNNNNNNNNNNNNNNNNNNNNNNNNNCCGAAACCCUGAACCGAAUCAUCAGAGCUCUUGUUGCCGCAUCACCGACCCAUCGUCCGGGUGGGUGCCGCGUCAGUCCCUCAGGCUCUACGGUGCCGCCAAUCCAUUGGCUUGGAUUCAGUUGUGCCAUGGGCUGGGAACCGUACAGUGAUGUCUGAUCGGUCGUCCGUGCGGGAGGUUUGGUCGGUCGAGGCCAGGUAUGAGUAGCUCUUGAGCAGGAUGGAUGCAGAGGGCGAUGAUGAUGAUGACGACGAGUGUGGCUGAAAUAAAGGUGUCUAGACAACCUAUAGCCAGCAGUCGGCUAUACUAUUAACCAUGCUCUAAAUAGAAUCGGUGAACGCAUUAGAGUUGCUCUUAGAGCCCACCCUUACUUCUCUUGCAGCCUGUUCAAUUCAUCGCUGAUGCUGGAUGUUCUGUGGCUCGGACGGUCAUCCUGAUGAGUGAUAACCAGGGCAGUUCUCCUCUACACUGAUGGGUAGAUUUUGCAGCAAGAGAUGUGGUUGGGUUUCAAGAUGAAAUGCAAAACUGAGCCAUCUUCUUUUGCUUAUCCUCUCUCUCUCAAACCCUAAACCAAAUCAGUUGAGUUCUCAUUGCCGACUCGUUGACCAAUCGUCUGUGUGGUUGGUGUGUCAGUUCCACACCGCUACGGCGCCGCCACCGCUAUCCCAUUGGCUUCGAUUCGGGUGCGGCGUGGGCUGGGAACCGUACGGUGUUGUCUGAUGCGUCGUCUGAGCAGGAGGGUUGGUCUGUCGAGGCCAGGUAUGAGCAGCUCCUGAGAUGGUGGACGGAUGGAUGUAUGCAUGCAUGUAUGUAUGUAUAUCAUGGUCAUGUUGCUUGUGGUUCGGUGUCCUUUUUGGAAAAAACUGAGGGGCGAUGAUGAUGCCUGUGGCUGAAAUAAUUAUGUCUUGAGCAAUCAGGACAUCUGUGGUGCGUGGGUACUAAAUAGGGCCUGAACGGGUGCUUGCGUUGGAGAUGCCCUUAAGGGCCCUCCCUUGGCUCUCUUGCAGCCUGUUCAAUUCAUUACCAAUUUUGGAUGUUCUGCGCCGCGGACGGUCAUUCUGUUGAGUGAUAACCAGAUCAGUUCUCUUGCAUCAAGAUGGGUAGAUUAUGCAGCAAGAGAUGCGGAGUGUUGGGCUUCAAGAUGAAACACAAAACUGAGCCCUCUUUUGAUAUGCUACAAAUACUAAAGUAGUGAUCUAAACGCUCUUAUAUUUCUUUACGGAGGGAGUAUUUGUGAACAUAGGGAGUAUCUAUCUAUCAGGGGCGAUGAUGAUCAAACAUGGCUGAUAUAAACCUGUCUUCGAUUAUUCAAGAAGCUGUGGGUAUCAAAAACCAUCUCUCCCCUCUUUUGGGACCUUUUCAUUCUCACCAAAUAUUGAUGGCUCUGUCUUGGAUGGUCAUUCUGUUAAGUAAUAACCAGCAGAGCUUGACUUCAAUGUUGGGGGUUGAUCUGGUGAAAGAAGAUGGGGCUAGUGUGAUCUAUCAAAGGCGAAUCUGAGCCCUCCUACAUCCGAUUCAUAAAAAAGUUGGAACAUCUUAUAUUUGUGAACUGAGGGGAGUAUCUAUCUAUCUAUCUAUCUAUGAGGGGCAAUGAUGAUCAAACAUGGCUGACAUAAACCUGUCUUUGAUUAUUUGAGGAGCUUUGGGUAUAAAAAACCCUCUCUCCCCUCUUUUGGGACCUUUUCAUUCUCAACGAAUAUUGACGGCUCUGUCUUGGAGGGUCAUUCUGUUGAGUGAUAACCAGCAGAGCUUGACUUCAAUGGUGGGGAAUGAUCUGAUGAAAGAAGAUGGUGGGGAUAGUAUGAUCUAUCAAAGGCAAAUCUGAGCCCUCCUACAUCCGGUUCAUAAAAAAGUUAGAACAUCUUAUAUUUGUAAAUAGAGGGAGUAUCUAUCUAUCUAUCUAUCAGGGGCGAUGACGAUCAAACAUGGCUGACAUAAACCUGUUUUUGAUUAUUUAAGGAGCUGUCGGUAUCAAACACCUGCUCUCCUCCCCUCUUUUGGGACCUUUUCACUCUCACCGAAUAUUGACGGCUGUCUUGGAUGGUCAUUCUGUUGAGUGAUAACCAGCAGAGCUUGACUUCAAUGGUGGGGGAUGAUCUGGUGAAAGAAGAUGGUGGGGCUAGUAUGAUCUAUCAAAGGCGAAUCUGAGCCCUCUCAAUGCAACUUAUAUUGUGCGUAAAAAGUUAGUAUGUUUAAUAAAGGUAAUAAAUUGUUGUGGUGUUUGGUUUGCCUUCUCAUGAUUUUGUGGUUCAUGGAGGGAACCAGUUUGGUGCUUUCAGGCUUUGCUCAAGCUCGUCUCGUUGUGGUGGUCCUUGUACCGGUAGUGUUUGAAUGUGUUUACUCCCUUCUUUUCGUGGGGUUAAAUGUGUGAAGCAUGGUCAGCAAAUGUUUGCCCUCUUUUCCUGUCUAUGCAUGUCCUCUUUUUCGUCCCCUUAUUUUUUUACUGGUUCUUAUGGCAGUGAUGUAAAUUCAAGUCGGCAAGUUGUCAACAUUUUUUCUACUGUUUUAGCAUAGCACAGCAACUGCUAAUUGGCCUUUAAGAAUACAAUUUGGCCGGUUUGCUUUUUGCUGAUGACCAUUCUAAUGCUUAUACAAGCCAAUGCGUGGAAAACCACAAAAAUCUUGUGUUGCGAAAAUACCACUUCUAUCUUUUCCUUUUUGAGAAUUUGUCUUUCUUGCCAAGCUUGUAUCCAUGUAUACAUAAAAGAUAUGUUGAGAGUUUGGUUUUGGUUUUAGUUCUUUUGGUAUGCAAAGGACUGUUUUGCAAGUUAACGUUUUGGAUGCCGCCUGUGCGGGAGGCGUCCGCGGCGGCGCGGGCUGGGGAACGAGCGGCGGGGCCCAUGCUGCGCUCCGGUCGAGGGCUUGGUCGGGCCGGCGCGGGAUCUGAGCUGCCGUCGAUGGAUUUCUGGCAGCUUGGCUGCAUGUAGCUUUGGAUUCG